GAUCAUGGCUCAGGAUUAACGCUGGCGGCGUGCCUAACACAUGCAAGUCGAACGAAAUAUCUUCGGAUAUUUAGUGGCGAACGGGUGAGUAAUGUACAGGUAAUGUACCUUCGUACUGCGAAUAACAAGCUGAAAAGUUUGCUAAUACGGAAUAGUUUCCUUCGAGGGCAUCCUUAAAGGAAUAAAGAUUUAUCGUGCGGAGAUCAGCCUGUAUCCUAUUAGUUAGUUGGUGGGGUAAUGGCCUACCAAGACGACGAUGGGUAACUGGUCUGAGAGGAUGAGCAGUCACAUUGGAACUGAGAACGGUCCAAACUCCUACGGGAGGCAGCAGUGAGGAAUUUUGCGCAAUGGGGGAAACCCUGACGCCAGCAACGCCGCGUGAGUGACGACGGCCUUCGGGUUGUAAAGCUCUGUCGUGUGUGACGAGUAGGGACGGUAACACACAAGGAAGCCUCGGCUAACUACGUGCCAGCCGCCGC
RNAcentral lists this ribosomal RNA (479 nucleotides) under uncultured bacterium. RNAcentral describes it as "bacterial SSU rRNA". It matches the Rfam family "Bacterial small subunit ribosomal RNA", at positions 15 to 518 of the family's 1533-position model. The record is from RNAcentral.